Molecule: long non-coding RNA, 1220 nt
Filed under: Homo sapiens (human)
Lineage: Eukaryota; Metazoa; Chordata; Mammalia; Primates; Hominidae
Description: long non-coding RNA NONHSAT177503.1
Source: RNAcentral
GUAUCCAAUGCAGUGAGAAUUUAUUUCAUAGUUAUCAAAGCAAACCAAAGGUUAUCAGUGGGUUGGACAUUUAAAGAUUAAGUACAGCUGAUCGCACUCAACUCUUAUGCAGGUAGCUUAACUCCAGUGGUUCUGGUCUCUCUCUGAAGGGAAAAUAGAGGUGUUUAUGAUCCUGUAUCCUAAUGGGUUCCAGGUGAUCCAGGCUAGGCAGCUGAGUUAGGCCCUCUCUUCUUUGAUUUACAUGGCAGAAUCCAGGCCAUCCCUCCGUGGGAAGCAGUGCCAAGGUAGGGAAACCUGAACAUCACUGAUGAGUGGCUGGAGGCCCAGAGCCAACGAGCCCCAGAGAUUAAAAACUGGGGGGCACUCAGUCAUCAGGGCCUCCGUGCUUUUGUGAAUUUGCCUCCAGGAGCAGGACCAGUUUCUCACAGUGAAUACUGGAGGAAAAUCUCCUCAUACUUCCUGAUUUAUUUUCCAGCAAUCCUUUACACACAUGGUCGUUUCAUAUGUGGUCAUCUCUAGGCUUUUUAGCAUUGUUUUUUUUUUUCUCCUUCCAUUUCCCCAUGUCAUCCAGGGUGUGCCUGUUUGAAUUUGGAUGAAGUUUGGCAUAUCCAUCAGAUGUGAUGAUAUGAGAAAACAGGUCCUCCUGUGGAGCAUCCAUCCAAUGGAACACUACUCAGCAGCAAAAAGGAACCAACUAUUAACAUUGUCUUCGUCAAGACUGCUAUAUACCAUAGACAGGAUGGCUUAAAUGACUGACAUAUUUCUCACAGUUCUAGAGGCUGAGAAGUCCAAGAUCAAGGUGCCCUUAGAUUCAAUUCGGUUCUUGGCUAAGGCCUUCUUCCUGGCUUGCCAAGAGCAGCCUUCUCAUGGUUUCCUGACAAGGAGGAGAAAAUGAGUUCUAUUUGGUGUCUCCUCCCCAGCUUUUUUUUUUUUUUUUUUUCUCUUGAGACAGAGUCUUUCUCUGUCUCCCAGGCUGGAGUGCAGUGGCGCGAUCUCAGCUCACCGCAACCUCCGCCUCCCAGGUUCAAGCGAUUCUCCUGCCUCAGCCUCCCGAGUAGCUGGGGCUACAGGCUCCCGUCACCACGCCCGGCUAAUUUUUCGUAUUUUUAGUAGAGGCGGGGUUUCACCGUGUUAGCCAGGAUGGUCUCUGGUCUGAUCUCCUGACCUCGUGAUCCGCCCACCUCAGCUUCCCAAAGUGUUGGGAUUACAGGCGUGAGCCA